GGUUCAGUGAGGCUUUCGGACUGGCCCAGGGAGGUCGGCAACGACCACCCAGGGCCGGAAAGUUAUCCAAACUCGAUCAUUUAGAGGAAGUAAAAGUCGUAACAAGGUCUCCGUUGGUGAACCAGCGGAGGGAUCAUU
RNAcentral lists this ribosomal RNA (138 nucleotides) under Stenocarpella maydis. RNAcentral's name for it is "partial 18S ribosomal RNA". It matches the Rfam family "Eukaryotic small subunit ribosomal RNA", at positions 1695 to 1830 of the family's 1831-position model. Lineage: Eukaryota; Fungi; Ascomycota; Sordariomycetes; Diaporthales; Diaporthaceae. The record is from RNAcentral. RNAcentral also lists the same sequence under 1 other name.